AGACACUUAAGCGGCUAAUUUU
This 22-nucleotide small nuclear RNA is filed under the name Arabidopsis thaliana (thale cress). RNAcentral describes it as "snRNA_18744". Lineage: Eukaryota; Viridiplantae; Streptophyta; Magnoliopsida; Brassicales; Brassicaceae. The record is from RNAcentral.